RNAcentral lists this ribosomal RNA (686 nucleotides) under uncultured bacterium. RNAcentral describes it as "bacterial SSU rRNA". It matches the Rfam family "Bacterial small subunit ribosomal RNA", at positions 9 to 667 of the family's 1533-position model. The record is from RNAcentral.
GAGUUUGAUCCUGGCUCAGAACUAACGCUGGCGGCGUGCCUAACACAUGCAAGUCGUACGAGAAAGUCGGCUUCGGCCGAUGAGUAAAGUGGCGCACGGGUGAGUAAUGCGUGGAUAAUCUGCCCUUGAGUUCGGAAUAACGUACCGAAAGGUGCGCUAAUACCGGAUAAUACUGCACAACUACUGUUGUGUAGUCAAAGAUGGCCUCUGUUUACAAGCUUUUGCUGAAGGAUGAGUCCGCGUACCAUUAGCUAGUUGGUGGGGUAAUGGCCUACCAAGGCGACGAUGGUUAGCUGGUCUGAGAGGAUGAUCAGCCACACUGGAACUGAGACACGGUCCAGACUCCUACGGGAGGCAGCAGUGAGGAAUAUUGCGCAAUGGGGGCAACCCUGACGCAGCAACGCCGCGGGAGUGGAGGAAAGGUUUUCGGACCGUAAAGCUCUGUCGAGCGGGAAGAAAUGCAUGGUGGCUAAUAUUCGUCAUGCUUGACGGUACCGCUAGAGGAAGCACCGGCUAACUCCGUGCCAGCAGCCGCGGUAAUUACGGGGGGUGCAAGCGUUGUUCGGAAUUAUUGGGCGUAAAGAGCGUGUAGGCGGCUGAAUAAGUCAGAUGUGAAAUCCCUGGGCUUAACCCAGGACGUGCAUUUGAAACUAUUCAGCUUGAGUAAGGGAGAAGGAAAGUGGAAU